UGCAAGUCGAACGAACCUUCGGGUUAGUGGCGGACGGGUGAGUAACGCGUGGGAAUCUGCCCUCCGGAGGGGGAUAACGGCCGGAAACGGCCGCUAAUACCCCAUAUGCCGAGAGGUGAAACGAAUUUCGCCUGAGGAUGAGCCCGCGUCUGAUUAGCUAGUUGGUGUGGUAAUGGCUCACCAAGGCAUCGAUCAGUAGCUGGUCUGAGAGGAUGAUCAGCCACACUGGGACCGAGACACGGCCCAGACUCCUACGGGAGGCAGCAGUGGGGAAUUUUCCGCAAUGGGCGCAAGCCUGACGGAGCAACGCCGCGUGAGGGAUGAAGGCCUCUGGGCUGUAAACCUCUUUUCUCAAGGAAGAAGAUCUGACGGUACUUGAGGAAUAAGCCACGGCUAAUUCCGUGCCAGCAGCCGCGGUAAUACGGGAGUGGCAAGCGUUAUCCGGAAUUAUUGGGCGUAAAGCGUCCGCAGGCGGCCUUGAAAGUCUGUUGUUAAAACGUGGAGCUCAACUCCAUUUCGGCAAUGGAAACUACAAGGCUAGAGUGUGGUAGGGGCAGAGGGAAUUCCCGGUGUAGCGGUGAAAUGCGUAGAUAUCGGGAAGAACACCAGUGGCGAAGGCGCUCUGCUGGGCCAUAACUGACGCUCAUGAACGAAAGCCAGGGGAGCGAAGGGGAUUAGAUACCCCCUGUAGUCCUGGCCG
Molecule: ribosomal RNA, 700 nt
Filed under: uncultured bacterium
Lineage: Bacteria
Description: bacterial SSU rRNA
Rfam family: Bacterial small subunit ribosomal RNA
Source: RNAcentral